This 254-nucleotide ribosomal RNA is filed under the name uncultured bacterium. RNAcentral's name for it is "partial 16S ribosomal RNA". It matches the Rfam family "Bacterial small subunit ribosomal RNA", at positions 524 to 776 of the family's 1533-position model. The record is from RNAcentral.
UACGUAGGGCGCGAGCGUUGUCCGGAAUUAUUGGGCGUAAAGAGCUCGUAGGCGGCCUGUUGCGUCCGCUGUGAAAUCCCGGGGCUCAACCCUGGGCGUGCAGUGGAUACGGGCAGGCUGGAGGCAGGCAGGGGAGAACGGAAUUCCCGGUGUAGCGGUGAAAUGACGCAGAUAUCAGGAGGAACACCGGUGGCGAAGGCGGGUCUCUGGGCCGAUACUGACGCUGAGGAGCGAAAGCGUGGGGAGCGAACAGG